GAGAAAGGAAAAGUCCGAGCUGUCACGGAGCAAAAACGGGAGCUGGAAGCAUGUAAAUAUAAUAAUAACCACAGCAACCAAGAAGAGUGCCUGAGGAGCCCAGCUGUCUCACGAGAGCAGGUGGUGGUGAUGAUGAAAGCCCACAGACGGGUGUGUGAUGCCAGUGUGAGCCAGAUGUCAAACUGAGGUCUUCAGCUGUUUUCCUGGCCACUGAAAGUGCACAAACAGCUUCACACACAAUUGACUCAAAAUAAAGACCGC
This is a long non-coding RNA of Oreochromis aureus, 261 nucleotides long. Lineage: Eukaryota; Metazoa; Chordata; Actinopteri; Cichliformes; Cichlidae. The record is from Ensembl.